UCAUUUGGUAAGUUUUGAGUAAAAUACAAUCCCUAGAACUAUACAGUACACCAACCACUCCAUUUCAGAACGAACUUCGUACGAACCUGAAUUUUCAAAUUUCGUGGAACGAUCGAUAUCGGAUUGAGUCCAAAACUUGGGGAACAACAUAAUAUUGUGGGAGGAGGCAUUUGGUGGGUUUUGAGUGAAAUACAAUCCCUAGAACUAUACAAUACACCAACCACUCCAUUUCAGAACGAACUUGGUACAAACCUGAAUUGUCAAAUUUCGUGGAACGAUCGAUAUCGGAUUGAGUCCAAAACUUGGGGAACACCAUAAUAUUGUGGGAGGAGUCAAUUGGUGGGUUUUGAGUGAAAUCCAAUCUCUAGAACUAUACAAUACACCAAUCACCCCAUUUCAGAACGAACUUCGUACGAACCUGAAUUGUCCGAUUUCAAGGACCAAUCGAUACCGGAUUAAGUCCAAAAC
RNAcentral lists this long non-coding RNA (468 nucleotides) under Prunus persica (peach). RNAcentral's name for it is "long non-coding RNA (PPER_LNC008796)". Lineage: Eukaryota; Viridiplantae; Streptophyta; Magnoliopsida; Rosales; Rosaceae. The record is from RNAcentral.